CUUGUUCAGCUAGUUGUCCUUUGAGAUGAAUACAUUAAAGGAUGUUGGUUCAAAAUGCAUCACAAACAUCAAACCCACAUUUAGUACUACCCAUCAUAGAUGAGCAACAUGCCAAAGGUCAAAUUAGUAAGUGGCAAAGCAAAGAGAGAAUUGGAGAGCCUGUACUUUGGGCCAUUGCCAUUCACUGCCUCUCACUUGGGGCAGGAGGGGAGGUGUAGGCUAGGGAGCCUGUUGUAUUUGGGAGGAGAAAAGAGAACCCAAUACUGUCAUCCAGACUAUCCAUACUAUCAUUUUGUUGAGGAUCUUAUAUCCAUCUGCUCUUAGUGCCAAAGAAUCCUUUACUUCAUCUAAAGGCAGCAGUGAAAGAAAAGAAAAGAAACAAGAAGAAAAAAACCAUUGGUUCACCAAAAAGGAUUCAGAGUCCUUUGAAUAACAAGCUGCUUAACAGUCCUGCAAAAACUCUGCCAGGGGCCUGUGGCAGUCCCCAGAAGUUAAUUGAUGGGUUUCUAAAACAUGAAGGACCUCCUGCAGAGAAACCCCUGGAAGAACUCUCUGCUUCUACUUCAGGUGUGCCAGGCCUUUCUAGUUUGCAGUCUGACCCAGCUGGCUGUGUGAGACCUCCAGCACCCAAUCUAGCUGGAGCUGUUGAAUUCAAUGAUGUGAAGACCUUGCUCAGAGAAUGGAUAACUACAAUUUCAGGUUGGCUUGGCCUGUGUUAGAUGGCCCAAGGCUGAGAUGUAGUCGUCUCAUGAUUUGAGAACAUAAACAGACUAAACUAUGCAGAUUUAACCCAUUUCUCUAACUCUGAUAAGC
Molecule: long non-coding RNA, 813 nt
Filed under: Homo sapiens (human)
Lineage: Eukaryota; Metazoa; Chordata; Mammalia; Primates; Hominidae
Description: non-protein coding lnc-TXNDC9-1:1
Source: RNAcentral